CCCAAGGGCUAGACACCCCGGGUCUGACUGGUGGGAGAGAAGACGUAAUGUGAAGGGGGUUGGCAACCAAGACGCGGGACCCCACUUGCAGUACCCCCCGUCGCGGGGCCAGCGCGGGUAGGGAGUGGGAUGGAAAAGAAAGGUUGGGGAGAAGAGUUCAUGUCAUAACGUUUCUCAUUGUACCUCCUUGUGCUUAUAAAGCCAGGCUAAAUGGCUUCCUCCCCCAGCUUUUCCUACCCCCAUUAUAAGGCCACAGGUGGUGACAGCCUUCAGCCCUGAGGUGGGCCGGCCUCUAGAUCUGAGCGUGGGGAAGCCAGGGUGCAUGGGCGGUCACUGUGAAGCUGGCCUGGCCCCGGGGUGGCAGCCUACUGGACUUGGAGAGAGAGGCCCUGCUCCACCUGUUUGGGCCGGGCCUAAUCGAUACCUGAGUGCCAGGACAGACCCCUGCAGCUCCUUCUGUUUCUCCAGGUCUCCAGUGGGGGCUGCAGACUAAGCAAAAUGAGGCGGUUCCUGAGG
This 516-nucleotide long non-coding RNA is filed under the name Homo sapiens (human). RNAcentral describes it as "HSALNT0245281". Lineage: Eukaryota; Metazoa; Chordata; Mammalia; Primates; Hominidae. The record is from RNAcentral.